Non-coding RNA from Gasterosteus aculeatus aculeatus (three-spined stickleback), 3467 nucleotides. Lineage: Eukaryota; Metazoa; Chordata; Actinopteri; Perciformes; Gasterosteidae. The record is from RefSeq and is a predicted model, not a curated record.
GUGUGUGUGUGUGUGUGUGUGUGUCGCUGUGUACUCGUUCUCAGAGAGAUACCUGGUCAGCAGCUGCCACUGCUACAUUCCUAUUUUGGUUAAAGGAAAACAUUGUGAUGAAUGAAUCAGAAUCAGAGUCUAUUUCUGCCAUGUGACGGUGUCCAAAACUGGCCAAAAAGUGACCCAAAUGCCCUAGUGUGUGACGCAAAAUAGCAGUCAACCAGUAGUCCAGGUGUCAAACGGUAACUGAAGACGGAUGGUAGCUCGUCGGAGCUUCUGUGUAUGGGUGUGAGUUGUCUCUCUCUCUCAAAAAAAAGAAACAUAUAACCUCUAACGCCCAGAAAUAGUCCUCUGAAUGACACCGUCAGCAUGAUGUGUAGUCUAUUAGCGUCCUGCCAGCAUGCUCAGCUCCUGCUGAGCUGAACCAGGCUGUAACAGCAGACAGUGCUGUUGUGGAUUAACCUACAUAACCAGCACUAAUGUAUUAAAAGGGUCUAAUGCAGGUAUUUAGCAUUUCUACAUUUAGAGCUGCCUCUGCUUCCCAAAAAGGUUCCCCGAUCGAAUGCAAUAAGCCUUUUAUAUGUUGAGAUUUACACAGUAUGACAAAACAUUACAUUGUGACACCAUUGUAUCAAUACACAUUCACUACAUGAGAAAGAGUCCAUUACGCAAUCACAUGCCCCACACACACACACACACACACACACACACACAACUACAGGCAAACAGAAGAGACCGACCAUCACCAGAACACAAUAAAGGUUGCUCAUGAGAUGCCCGUCAGGAUCUAAAGCAAUCUACUAAUUCACAUUCACGCACCCUCACUGUUAAUAAAGCCUCAGGAGCAAAUUGGGAGCAAAGAAACUUGGACAUAUUAAUUAAACUUCCCGCUUAGAGAAGGACCCGCUCUACCUCUGCGCCACAGCCGCCCCUGAACCCCGCCGAGCAGCUCGUUUGAAGAAGAAAGAGAGAGAAGAAGUGCUUACUUCUUUUAUGCAUGAACAUAGUACGACUUUUUCACAGCCAUCUUAUCUCUCAGCACCACGGGCUCAGGUCAACGUGACCCGGCUGGAACCGGGAUAAAGUGAACUUAUGAACUCAACACUUAUCCACAAUGAUGACAUGUGCAGCUGAUAAAGGCCUCUUUCCCUGCUGCUGUUCAGCCCGGGUGCAUCAUAAAUUACACUCUUUGCGUUGCAGCAGCAGUCCGAGGUGCCGGUCCUGGUACCACUGGGGAUGCGGGAGCCGCUGCGACGCUCUUGCUGGUCGAUGUGCUGACGGUCUGGAUUCCCACCGCUAACGAUGACGGAAUACAACCUGUCCUGCACGUGGAUAUUUUAGGAAGCCUGUCGAGUGACGGUAGAUGAGGAAUGCUCAUGAAAUAUGAGCGAAGGAAAAACGUUCUUCUAAGGCUCCUGACAUUGCACAUUUCUCACAUACAAUUUGGGAUUUCAAUUGAUUUUUAGUCUGCACGUUGUGCAUGUUCUCUAUAAACAUGGAUGAUGGAGGCAUUCAAAUGUAAACAAAAAAAAUAAAGACAUAUUUCAGCAGACCGACAUCUUGAUUGAUGUCACUUACAAACAUAUUGAGGACUUAUUUUGUAUGAACCAAUAAAAAAGGCUUUUCUUUGUAACAGGCAUUGUUCUUGGGAUAUUUUACGGACCAAAAAAUAUAAACUAAGAAAACAAUAAACUGAAUCUCUAGGGAGAACUAUCGCUAAAUUGAGUCCUACAUUGUAGCGGCCAAAAAUCAAGGGCUCAGAGGAAAUCAGUCUUCAGGAAACAUUUACUUGAACAAUUACAAAAUAAACCUCUAAAUCAGCAAAAGUGUCGACAUAAAAAAUGGACCCAUAGCUUCCUUUGGGAAAAUAUAGAUCACAAAUCCAUAAUUUUGCACCACUUUAGGAGGAGACUUGUUCUUUUUUCCCCUUUGCUAAAAAGAAAGGGAACCUAUGGGAAAUUGCUGUACACAUUUCCCAUAUGUUAUUGUUGACAGAUGCAUAUGAAAUAGUGCAGGAAAGCAGAGCCACUGAUGAGCAGCUGUUGAGAAGGGUGCAGUCCUCCACCCAUGCACCACCCCUGGACGUAGUGUCUGCACUCUAGCACCAAUUUACAGAGACUCAGGCACAAACUGGAAACCACAUUCAAAUAUCCAGAGCACAACACCAAAAGAGCAUUUUUCCAAACUACAUUAAACACACACACACACACACACACACACACACACACACACUACGCAAUUGGAUUUUGCUGCUGCAAAGAGCAGCGCAGAGUGACAUGAAGCAUGCGAGACCGACGCUCAGUGCUGCCAAAUUGAAGCUCUCUGUCUAAAGUGAAUUAUCUUUGGCUGAGCUGCCUCACUGGUGUGUGUGUGUGUGUGUGUGUGUGUGUGUGUGUGUGUCAUGCCAUCUAGAAGUAAAAUGUGUGGUUUUGUAUGUGUCCCGGAAUUAGUGUGACAUCUUUCCUGGUAAGGGUGUGUGUGUUUGUUUGGAUGUUGGGAAGCCUGAGAAACGACCGACGGGACACACAACUUGCAUGCGCACAAAUCUCUGGUAUUAAGAAUUCAGUCUCAAUAUUUCUGUUCGAGGGGUUUAUGAAUUUGCCACAUAUUCAAACAGUUACAUUCGUUACACAUGCUCGAAACAACAUAAAAAAUGAUAGAGGCGCCAUUUCAAAACAUCUAAGAGCCUGUGACUCUUGGCUGUUAUUGGUGUGACUACAAGACAUAGGACAUCUAUAUCAACUAGACAAGCAACCCUCCUAUUUUAUAACUAAUGGUGGCUAUUUCGGCAACAGUUAUGGGCUUACCAGCCGUCAUGGAUAAUGGCGUGGGCCAGGUUUCUGCACACCUGCACGGGUGUUUUCACUUACCCCGGCUAAUGGGGAGACCUUGAACCAGGUGCAACGAUUGGAAGCGCCCAUGUAGCCGGAUUAGUGACCUUAAAGCGUCCGAAACAAAUAGGAAAUAAUAAAGAAAGGCCCAACAUGCUGAUCGUAGUUAAUCAUCAGCAUUCUGCAGCAUGUCGUACUGUUUUUUGGUACUAAAACAAAGGGUUUCAUUCCAAAUGAUAUAGUUCUGUCUAACAAAGAUUUUAGCAUAAAUGUUCUCUAAAACUCUGUAAAACAUGUUAGGCAAUUAAAAGUUGCUGUGUUGAUGUUUUCAAUGCCUAUUAUAGAGCGUUUUAAUCUAAACAACUGUCGCGGUGCUUCUUCCCCUCAGGGAUCCUUUGAGUUCCUUUGAUCUCACAUGAACUAUUCAGAUAAGAAAGCGGAGGUCAUGCUGGGAACAGAUCACGACGUAAACACCCAAGCGAAAUUCUCAUCAUCAGAAGCAUCUGAAAAUAUUGUGCAUCUUGUAACAAACACCUUAAUAAAAAUGAUUUAAAUGAGCAUAACUGUUUCCUGUGUACCUAAAUAAUUAAUCAAACUACACAUCGUGUGUGCGUGUGUAUCUGUUACUGAAUGAGAGGGAGUUAU